GAUGAACGCUGGCGGCGUGCCUAAUACAUGCAAGUCGAACGAAACUUCUUUAUCACCGAGUGCUUGCACUCACCGAUAAAGAGUUGAGUGGCGAACGGGUGAGUAACACGUGGGCAACCUGCCCCAAAGAGGGGGAUAACACUUGGAAACAGGUGCUAAUACCGCAUAACCAUAGCUACCGCAUGGUAACUAUGUAAAAGGUGGCUAUACUACCGCUUUUGGAUGGGCCCGCGGCGCAUUAGCUAGUUGGUAGGGUAAAGGCUUACCAAGGCAAUGAUGCGUAGCCGAAUUGAGAGGUUGAUCGGCCACAGUGGGACUGAGACACGGCCCAAACUCCUACGGGAGGCAGCAGUAGGGAAUCUUGCACGAUGGGCGAAAGCCUGAUGGAGCAACGCCGCGUGGGUGAAGAAGGUCUUCGGAUCGUAAAACCCUGUUGUUAGGGAAGAAAGUGCGUGAGAGUAACUGUUCACGUUUCGACGGUAUCUAACCAGAAAGCCACGGCUAACUACGUG
Molecule: ribosomal RNA, 512 nt
Filed under: uncultured bacterium
Lineage: Bacteria
Description: partial 16S ribosomal RNA
Rfam family: Bacterial small subunit ribosomal RNA
Source: RNAcentral